Molecule: long non-coding RNA, 330 nt
Filed under: Brassica napus (rape)
Lineage: Eukaryota; Viridiplantae; Streptophyta; Magnoliopsida; Brassicales; Brassicaceae
Description: long non-coding RNA (BNAP_LNC009577)
Source: RNAcentral
CAAUAGCCAUGUUACAAGGGUUCUUAGGUUUAUGAGUUUCAUAUAAAUAGAGCAGUGUCUUUGUGUUACGGUAACUAAGGCUGUAGUUUGUGCAGCCAAAACCUUAUCUUUAUAAAAUAUCAUUUCAGAAUCAUUGUGAUCUUGGUGACAAUCCAGAGUUCAUCCUCUAUUUACUUUCUUGCUUAUGAAUAAAGCUCUAUGAGGUAUUAGUCUAUCAAUAAAGCUCUUUAGAACACAAAUCUAUCUUAUCUUCAAAUGUUACACAUGGUAUCAGAGCCAUGGAAGAAAACUCAGAUCCUGUUUCUUCUCCAUCUCUGAGUAUUACUCACU